CUCUUUGUAAGAGACCUUCAAAUUCACAUAUAUAUGUUCUUAGCAGCUCAAAUCAACGCCUCCAAUUACUUCUUCUUCAAGCACCAUCGUCUUAUUGUUCAUCCGCAGACAAUAAGACAAUGCUUUUGAGAAAGAAUUUUUCACCGAGUAUGGAGAGGCGACCCAGUACGAGAUUCAAGAAGUGAUUGGGAAAGGUAGUUAUGGAGUGGUGGCCUCCGCCAUCGAUACUCACACCGGAGAGAAAGUGGCUAUAAAGAAGAUGAACAAUAUCUUUGAGCAUGUCUCUGAUGCUACGCGCAUUCUGCGAGAGAUCAAGCUUCUACGCCUCCUCAGACACCCUGAUAUUGUUGAAAUCAAGCACAUAAUGCUUCCUCCAUCCCCCAGAGAGUUCAAGGAUAUCUAUGUCGUCUUUGAAUUGAUGGAAUCUGAUCUUCACCAGGUUAUCAAGUUGAAUGAUGAUCUCACUCCUGAGCAUCAUCAGUUUUUCUUGUACCAGCUUCUUCGAGCUCUGAAAUAUAUACACUCAGCCCAUGUGUUUCACCGAGAUUUGAAGCCAAAAAAUAUUCUUGCUAAUGCGGACUGCAAGCUAAAGCUUUGUGAUUUUGGGCUUGCUCGCGUGUCCUUUGCCAAUGCCCCUUCCGCCAUUUUUUGGACUGAUUAUGUGGCAACACGAUGGUACCGUGCUCCUGAACUCUGUGGCUCCUUUUCCUCUAAGUACACCCCUGCUAUUGAUAUCUGGAGCAUAGGAUGUAUAUUUGCUGAGUUGCUAACUGGGAAACCCUUGUUUCCUGGAAAAAAUGUGGUGCAUCAGUUGGAUAUCAUAACUGAUUUGCUUGGCACUCCUUCAGCAGAAUCCAUUGCACGGAUUGGGAAUGAAAAAGCUAGAAAAUAUUUGAACAGCAUGAGGAAAAAACGACCAAUUCCUUUGUCAAAGAAAAUUCCAAAUGCAGACCCAUUGGCUUUACGGUUACUUGAGCGAUUGCUGGCAUUUGAUCCUAAAGACCGUCCUUCUGCUGAAGAGGCAUUAGCAGAUCCAUAUUUUCAUGAUCUGGCAAAUAAGGAGCAUGAACCAUCAAGACAACCUAUUUCAAAGCUCGAGUUUGAAUUUGAGAAGAGGAAAUUGACAGAAGAUGAUGUAAGAGAGUUAAUCUAUAGAGAGAUUUUGGAGUACCAUCCUGAGAUGCUGAAAGAGUACCUUCGGGGAACGGAUCAUACUCACUUCGUGUAAUUGACCGAUUUAAGGAACAAUUUGCACAUCUUGAGGAAGGAAACGGUAAAAGUGAAAGAAGCAGUCCUCUGCAUAGGAAGCAUGCCACCUCCUUGCCUAGGGAGC
Molecule: unclassified non-coding RNA, 1333 nt
Filed under: Hevea brasiliensis (rubber tree)
Lineage: Eukaryota; Viridiplantae; Streptophyta; Magnoliopsida; Malpighiales; Euphorbiaceae
Source: RNAcentral